GCGAUGGCCCUAGGCCUGAUGUCAGUUUCUACACCAUGCGAACAGCAAACAACACUAGCCGUGUCUCAAAGCUCACGACUCUCAAGGCCAAGCAAGCUAAUGCAUUGUUUUGGUCUCCUGCUGGCCGCUUCAUUGUUCUUGCUGGGCUGAAGGGAUUUAAUGGGCAGCUAGAAUUCUACAAUGUUGAUGAGCUUGAAACUAUGGCAACAGGAGAGCAUUUUAUGGCAACAGACAUAAUGUGGGAUCCUACUGGAAGGUUAGCUAAUAACUGGGUUUAGAAAUUUGCUGAUUCUUCCUUUGGCACUGGUAUUUCUAUUAUCAUGUGAAAGUUGAAACAGUAGUCAGUUUUUUACACCAGCAGAUUGCCUGCAUGUUAAAAGAAGUUAUUAGAAUUUUGUCAAUUCUAAAUCCCAUGCCUUUUGUAUGCAUGAAGUUCUAUUUCUAAACUUUGGCCAAACAUUCAGUGGCCAAAGAUUUAAGAAUGAACUGAAAUGGUUUUGCAAUUCCUUUCGUUCAGGUAUCUUGCAACUGCAGUUACCUCAGUCCAUGAGAUGGAGAAUGGAUUUCAAAUAUGGUCCUUCAAUGGCAAGCACCUUUACAAGGUGUCAAAGGAUCACUUCUAUCAGGUAAAUGUUCAGUAACUUUCUGCUUGGAAACAUUUUCCAUGAUGUAUGAUUGUCCUUUGUUGUAAUGUUUGUCUUGUACACGGACUGACGGACUGAAUGAUGCAGUUUAUAUGGCGUCCGAGACCGCCAUCACUUUUGACUCCUGAGAAGGAAGAGGAGAUCUCGAAGAACCUGAAGAAGUACAGCAAGAAGUACGAGCAAGAAGACCAGGAUGCAUUCAACCAGCU
Molecule: long non-coding RNA, 853 nt
Filed under: Setaria italica (foxtail millet)
Lineage: Eukaryota; Viridiplantae; Streptophyta; Magnoliopsida; Poales; Poaceae
Description: long non-coding RNA (SITA_LNC006979)
Source: RNAcentral